GCCGGUUUUAGCUUUAAAAAAAAAAAUUUCUUCACUCUCAUUUACUUCAAAUUUACAAUUCCUUUCAUUCAACUAAAAUAAUCAACUACAUUCCCAUCUUCUCCUUGUGUACUAGUUCAUUUUCAUUCUCAUUUAAGGUCAUAGCACUGGUAUGUACAUGAGUUGAUACAGGCGUAUCUCCAUAUUACGCCUAACGAACACCGCAUUUGCGCAGCCAGGAUCACAUUACCAUCCGACAUCUACGUUAUUGGCUGAGCGCAUCCGAUCGGUGCUCAUACAGUGCAAUGACACGAUUCAAGGGGCCGCUACAUCACCAGUUGAUGUGGGGUAUCGGCUAUGUUCUCAGACCCUAGGAUCCAUCAACGCGUCAUUGACCGAUGCAUUGAGUCAGGCGGGGUAUGAGUACCUCAUACCGACUCCACCCGUCAUUGGCGAGGUAGAUGACGCAUUCCACACUCCUUCUCCAAGGAGUUCAGCCCAUAGAGGUAGCUCUUCCGGAGGAUCCAGUUCUCGGUCCACACGAGGUCGCCAGCGUUCAUCUACUCGAGGUCGGUCUUCCAGAUCGCCAUCGUCAUUCGGUACUAUGUCGCCAUUCGUUCCUCCAACUUCCAUCACCACUCCUCCUCUACAUCCAUCGCCUCCGCAAAGGAUCAUCACAUAUCAACGUGCUAGUCAACGACGAGCUCCUGCUCUUAAUGUCAUUGCGGAGAUUGACGAGUUCACACCAUCAUCAUCAACCGGUGCGCAAAUGAAGAGGGGCUGGGGAUUGUAGUUUAACAUACUUUGUAUAUUCUUAUAUGAU
This is a long non-coding RNA of Amaranthus tricolor (Joseph's coat), 802 nucleotides long. RefSeq lists it as uncharacterized. NCBI's taxonomy places the organism in Eukaryota, Viridiplantae, Streptophyta, Magnoliopsida, Caryophyllales, Amaranthaceae. The record is from RefSeq and is a predicted model, not a curated record. The transcript has 3 exons.